RNAcentral lists this long non-coding RNA (1612 nucleotides) under Hermetia illucens (black soldier fly). Its description in RNAcentral is "uncharacterized LOC119658652". The record is from RNAcentral. Lineage: Eukaryota; Metazoa; Arthropoda; Insecta; Diptera; Stratiomyidae.
UUGUUACUAUAAUGGGGUUCGAUUCCUCUAUACUUUACUCGACUGUAUGAAUAUGGAAAUUUGCUUUCCAUUUUGAUUAUACACGAAAUGGAAAUGUAGCUGAGCUAGUUUUUAUUACCUGACGCUCAGUUGAUGCUUUGGUGGUCUGCGUCACAUAUUAAAAUAUCUUUUAAUAUUUUCUUGUUGAUAUAAAUCUAGAUUUCUCAAAUAAUUAAACAUUUUCAGCGAUAAGUCUUUAAGAAUUUAUCUGAAGUAUAGUCUCCAUAAACCACCUAUGGGUACAGGCCUACUCGCCAUCGUUAUCACUUUUCUCGAAGAAGCUUCCAAUGUUCUGCACCACAUAGCUCUAGGGCGAUCUACUGGUUGGCGAAUCUGGAAUGGUCGAUUUCAUUGUAUGGCGUGGCUCGCAAUAGAAUUGCAGUUUUUUCUCAAUGCCGGAGGACGCUGUCCCGACGUAGGCAUUGAGUUGAUGAAAACUUCGAGCUUUCAAGUAACAUUAACGAUCACUUUUCAGUGAUUGCUUCUGCAUAUGUCACAUAGGACUACAGAGAGAUUUUUAGUGCGGAGCAGCCCCAAAUGAACCAAAAAAGCCUACAUGAAAAUUUCAUCUUAAGCAACUAUUAACGCACGUUAUAUCCCAUUGCAGUUAUAGACUACUCUCUGAAGUUUUAAUGGUAAAUCUAUCAAUCUUAUGAGCAGUCAAGUACUGCAGUGGAUUAUCAACUAUUGCACAGACGUCUGUAAUCAAUACUAAAGCCACCGUGCUAUUUUUUAUCUAGAAGUAGAGUACUAGGUUCGAUGCUUAUCUUUUGCCAUUGGCUGCACAUUAAGCUUUCUUUUCUCCAUUCUUUUUUGUUGGUUUCUUAUUUAAAAUUCCACAAAUAUAUUGGAGCUGUCGUUUAAAUGUGUUAGAUCCGUCUGAUUCCAAUUUACUCACUCUUGGUUUCAUGUAGUAUUUUAAUAUAAUAAUAGGGAUGUUAGCUACCAUUCUUACUGCAAUUGUUGUUUAAUAUUAGUUUGAAAUUUCAUUUGAUUUAACAAAAUCAAUGUGCCUUCACAUUCUUCACUACUCUGAAGUAGUUUUCUUCCCAAUUUCCAUGAACUCUUCAAUUGGACGUUUUCCUUUUCUCCAAAAUUUAUGUUAUUUUUAAACGUCGUCGUCAUGGUAAUUUACAUAAGUUAAAUAUCACUUUUAUCAGAACGGAAAGUACAUGAUGUUGUGCAUCUUAAAAAUCAUUCGUAAGCUCGCAACGAUCGGCGUAUAAGUACGUACUACAACAACUUUGUCCGCCGUACACGAGAAAGGUCAACAUUUAAAUACGAUUUUGGAAUACAAAGUGCAUAGUGUACCUAAUGGACAGAAUGAAAUCACAUACGAAAAGUUAAUUUUGAAAACUUACUUGGAAUAUUGAUGGGGAGUGAUUUUCUGACUAUUGAUUUUUUUUCUUAUAGUUGAUGUAAAAAGUGAGAAAUUUUACGAUGAGGUUCAAGUACGCCAUUCGUAAUAUACUUAUUAUAUUGUAAAUUAUUCGGAAAGUUGGGGAAUUUUAAUAAAAGGGAAAACGUUGAUUUAGUGUUAUUACCUAGAAACAGCAAACGUAAUUUCUUUAUU